RNAcentral lists this long non-coding RNA (240 nucleotides) under Homo sapiens (human). RNAcentral's name for it is "HSALNT0103154". The stretch from base 1 to 61 matches the Rfam family "tRNA", at positions 14 to 71 of the family's 71-position model. Lineage: Eukaryota; Metazoa; Chordata; Mammalia; Primates; Hominidae. The record is from RNAcentral.
AGCUGGUUAAAGCGCCUGUCUAGUAAACAGGAGAUCCUGGGUUCGAAUCCCAGCGAGGCCUCUUUAUUUCUUCCCCUAAACUUAGGUAAAUUCUUGUCACUAGUUAAACCUGACUUAGAUGUAUACCUAAUAAAGCAGCAAACCUUGAAUCUCGAUGUCUGAGGCACUUUGUAGAGGAACGUGGUGAUGGGUUGGAAAUAUUUACGAUGAAUUAGCUAAAUCUAUGCCAGAGACCAACCG